CUCACCAGUUGCAGUUCCGGUAUCACAGAAUACUCAGCAACACCAUCUCCCUCCUCUACAGCAAUGGCCCCAGCUCUGAUCCUUUCUAAUUCUGGCAAGCGGAUUGACAGGAUGUCCAGUAGCCUCACCAGUUCCAGUUCCAGUUCUGGUAUCACAGAACACUCAGCAACACCAUCACCCUCGUCUACAGCAAUGGCCCCAGCUCUGGUCCUAUCAAAUUCUGGCAAGCGAAUUGACAGGAUGUCCAGUAGCCUCACCAGUUACAGUACUGGUACUGCAGAACCGUCAGCAACACCUUCUCCAUCAUCUACAGCAACAGCCCCAGCUCUGGUCCUAUCAAAUUCUGGCAAGCGCAUUGAUCAGGCUGGC
This 369-nucleotide long non-coding RNA is filed under the name Durio zibethinus. RNAcentral describes it as "long non-coding RNA (DZIB_LNC000789)". Lineage: Eukaryota; Viridiplantae; Streptophyta; Magnoliopsida; Malvales; Malvaceae. The record is from RNAcentral.